Molecule: long non-coding RNA, 392 nt
Organism: Melospiza melodia melodia
Lineage: Eukaryota; Metazoa; Chordata; Aves; Passeriformes; Passerellidae
Exons: 3
Source: RefSeq, a predicted model, not a curated record
CAGGUGAGCACGGAUCCAGGUGAGUUUGGAGCUGCAGGAAUUGCAGGUCCUGGCAGGUGUAAGGAGCAGGGAUUGAAGGUCCUGGCAGGGCUGUAGCUCAGAGUUUGUUCCUGCAGGUCCUGGCAGGGCUGUAGCCCAGGUUAAUAGCUCAGGUUAACCCCUCAAUGCCCGCUGGUCCUGGCAGGGCUAUAGCCCAGGAUAACCCCUCAGUGCCCGUUUACUCAGGAUCGCCCCCAGGUCCUGGCAGGACUGUAUCCCAGGUUUAACCCCCAGGUCCUGGCAGGGCUAUAGCCCAGGUUAACCCCUCAGUGCCCCCAGGUCUUAGCAGGGCCAUAGCCCAGGUUAACCCCUGUGUGCCCACAGGUCCUGGCAGGGCCGUAGCCCAGGUUAAC